AGAUGGCGACCGGCGCACGGGUGAGUAACACGUAUCCAACCUGCCGAUAACUCGGGGAUAGCCUUUCGAAAGAAAGAUUAAUACCCGAUGGUAUAAUCAGACCGCAUGGUCUUGUUAUUAAAGAAUUUCGGUUAUCGAUGGGGAUGCGUUCCAUUAGGCAGUUGGUGAGGUAACGGCUCACCAAACCUUCUAUGGAUAGGGGUUCUGAGAGGAAGGUCCCCCACAUUGGAACUGAGACACGGUCCAA
Molecule: ribosomal RNA, 247 nt
Filed under: uncultured bacterium
Lineage: Bacteria
Description: partial 16S ribosomal RNA
Rfam family: Bacterial small subunit ribosomal RNA
Source: RNAcentral